The sequence is a transfer RNA, 102 nucleotides long. It matches the Rfam family "tRNA". Rfam says of the family: Transfer RNA (tRNA) molecules are approximately 80 nucleotides in length. Their secondary structure includes four short double-helical elements and three loops (D, anti-codon, and T loops). Further hydrogen bonds mediate the characteristic L-shaped molecular structure. tRNAs have two regions of fundamental functional importance: the anti-codon, which is responsible for specific mRNA codon recognition, and the 3' end, to which the tRNAs corresponding amino acid is attached (by aminoacyl-tRNA synthetases). tRNAs cope with the degeneracy of the genetic code in two manners: having more than one tRNA (with a specific anti-codon) for a particular amino acid; and 'wobble' base-pairing, i.e. permitting non-standard base-pairing at the 3rd anti-codon position.
GAAGCGGUGGCUCAAUGGUAGAGCUUUCGACUCCAGUUUGAUCCUGGUUAAAUAGGAAAUAUUGCAAUCGAAGGGUUGCAGGUUCAAUUCCUGUCCGUUUCA